RNAcentral lists this transfer RNA (70 nucleotides) under Luetkenotyphlus brasiliensis. RNAcentral's name for it is "tRNA-Ala". It matches the Rfam family "tRNA". Rfam says of the family: Transfer RNA (tRNA) molecules are approximately 80 nucleotides in length. Lineage: Eukaryota; Metazoa; Chordata; Amphibia; Gymnophiona; Siphonopidae. The record is from RNAcentral.
AAGGCCCUAGCUUAAAUUAAAGUAUCUGGGUUGCAGUCAGAAGAUGUUGGAUAAAGUCCUGCGGGUUUUA